Molecule: non-coding RNA, 4064 nt
Organism: Lactuca sativa (garden lettuce)
Lineage: Eukaryota; Viridiplantae; Streptophyta; Magnoliopsida; Asterales; Asteraceae
Source: RefSeq, a predicted model, not a curated record
UAUAUCUACGUUCUUCAGUCGUUUCGCUUUCAACAGACGCAAAUAUAGUAUAACCCAGCUCCCUCUUUCGCUGGAUUUAUAACUAAAACUCGAAACUCGAAAGGGUUGGGUCAGUAAUUGCGCAUUAUACCGUUUGUUCUUCAGCAAUUCCACUCCUGAUCCUUUACAGGAGACUCACAAAAAUUGUCAAGAUCGCUUUUUCAGACGAAAAAUAAGGAUGAAGCUAAUAUUUUUUCAAGAUUAGAAUUAUCAUGUUGUUUUUACAUGCAUCAAGAGCUCCUAGCAAUUUGGAAAAAAAGCCAAAGGUCAAUAUGUGGUCAAAGGUACAAAACCAAACUCCACUUUGCUGAUUACUUAAUAAUUAAUAUGGAUGCAAAUUCUCUAAUAGUGUAAUAAUGAAAAAAGCGUUGGUAGAUUAGUGUCCCCAUGAAGGGACCUAUUUGUGAGCGAUUGCCAUUUUAAUUUUUCCCAAUAGGACAUUAUAUUUUUAUGUUAUUAUUAAGACAAUGCACUUUGAUUAUGGUUACCAGUUUACAUUAUUAUAUAUUAUUUAUUUUACUAUUAGGAAAUUUUCUUUGAAAAUCGAACGGGUUGAGGCAUUAUAAUUUCUUAUAUAGCUUUAUACUCUCACUAUAAAAUCUAUUAAGAUAUUGUACUUUCCCAAUGUGUACUUUGAUAGGCAUUAAGGAUUUUUUUUUUUCAUUAUUUGACAAAUGUAACUACUCUUUUUUCUUUUUUCGAUGUUUGAUAGUCUCUUUGAAAAAUAAAAAGGUGCAACACCACAUCACCUACUUUUUUUUAUUGUUUGAUAGUCUCUAUGUAAACCCUCUUGUUUUGCUCUACAUUUGUCAUAGAAUAGCCUGCAGUUAAUGCCCAAUCUUGCAGCUUCGGAUGCGGUAAAGUGUAAUGGGACACAAAAGGUUUCUACUUUUAAUUCAUUAUGCUUUUUCUUUUCUUUGUUUGAUAGUAAGGGAGAUGUAGCAGUUUCCCAUGAAAACCUGAAUGCAAGUCUUGAAAUUAACUUCUAUCCAUUUGAUGUGUAAGUAUCAGCAGUCUCAAAUUGGUUUAUAAAAUGCCAAUUGUUUUACCAUUAUUUUGUUCAUCUGUGUUUUAUAGCAUCCUAAUUUCAUUUCUUUCAAUUAUAGUGUUGUACUUUCAACUAAUUUCUUAUUAACACAUUGUACUUUGAAAGUGUAUCCAAUUAUGGCAUCGAACUUAUAGCUACUUUUCUAUUAGAACAUUAUACUAAUAAUGUUGUUCAUCAAUCAUGAAAGAUAAAUCAUAAGCUUUCUGGUGUUUUCUUACUUUAAUGGAAAGAUCAAGCCCAAAGAUCCAACUGUGAUAAAAAAAAAGGUAUGCACUCUCAACUCUUUGCAUUAUCAAAGGUCCUCUCUCUAUCUCACUAUAGAACAAGGAUAUUUUCGUCGUUUAAUAAAAGAGGAAGAAUGAACCUGAAAUCCUUCCACCGGCCCCUAUGAAUGGUUCAAAUCCAUCAAAUAUGACAUUCGAAGGAAUUUGACAGAGUUGAAUGGAAUAUUGAAUUCCAAUUCCACCGGAAUCCACAAUUCUAAAACAUAGCUUCGAUUUUCAAACAUGAUACUUAAAGAAAUUCGACUGAACUGAAUUCUGUCCUAAUUGUCAAUCAAACAUGUCUUGAUAAGGAAUCUCGAACUCCAAUUCUGUCGGAAUCCGCGAUUCCUUUUCUUAGCUGGUGGAACUACUCAACAACCCAUUUUAGUUGUUACAUCUUGUAUAAAAUCUUUUUGAUGCUUAAAUUCCUGUAUUAUCCUUAAUUAGUAAUGGAUUGCUUGGAUAAUACUCAACAACCCAUGAAGGAACCUAUCUGUGAGUGAUUGUCAUUUUAAUUUUUCCCAUUAGGACAUUAUAAUUUUAUGAUCUUAUUAAGACAAUGCACUUUGAUUAUGGUUACAAGUUUACAUUAUUAUAUAUAAUGUAUUUUACUAUUAGGAAAUUUUCCAUAAAAAUCAAAAGUUAUUACUUCACAAUCUAACCUGUUAAAUUAUAUUUUUUUUCCUUCUAAGAUAUUGUACUUUGAUAUUACUUUGAAAAUCUAAUAAUGUUUGAUUUUGGUUACCAUUUAUAGGAUUAUACUCUCAUUUCCUGUUACGACAUUGUACAUUGAAAACUUGUUUGAUUUUUGUUACAAAUAGCAUUUUAUUUUUAAGUUUUUAUCCUCUAAUGACUUUGAACUAUAACCUAUUAAGUUCAAUUUUUAUUUUUUCUUUUUAAAACAUUAUGCUUUGAAAAACCUACCCAACUGUAGCACUACAACUUUUAGUUAUAGCAUUAUGCUUUCAAUGUCCCUAUUUUUUAAUGUUUUUUUUUUUCAAGAAUGACAUUGUAUCAUUAAAUUCUUAUCAAUUAUAGUUUUGAUAUCUAACCUAUUAAGCCAUUUUGACCAGUUAUAGGAAUUUACUUAAAAUUUUAAAUUUGUUUUACGCUAUUACCCUCUUCAGACACAUGCGAUAUGCUUUUCUUGGAGGGUUUGAUGUGGCAAUGAAACGUAUGUUGGAAAUUGUGGGUUGUAGUCAUCAAUCAAAGCCAAUGCAUGAGUUUUGUUCAUUUGUGUAAGAGAACUUGAAAUUGUUGGAUGACAUGGCGGAAUUGUGACCUAUUAUGUUCCUUGAUUACAUUAUAGAGUAUAUGAUAAAUUUAUGUAUUUUUCAAUAAGUAAGGCUUUAUGAUGUUCUAUUAGUGUGUGGUUUUUGCAGGGAAGAGGCAAGCUUUCAAUACUUUAAAUGUGAAGAGGCAAGCUUUACUUAAAGGUAACAAUUUACAAAACUUUCUUCAGCACUUUUAGUUUUCGAUACUUUAAAGAAUAUAAUCUGUGUGAUAAUAUCAAAUCUUACAGCCUAGAAUUCAUCUCCUAUGCUAAUUAUUAGUAUUUAAUAAAAUAAAAGACAAACUUUGUGGAUGGGUUCGUUUUAUGGUUUCAGGUGCAUCAUCCCUACCUUUUCUCUUGAUGUUAUGUAUUUUCUUAAAGCCUAAGUUAUUUUUAACAACUUACUCUCUUUCAUUUGUGUUUUUUAGCAUCUUAAUUUCAUUUCUUUCUAUUAUAGUAUUCUACUUUCAAAAAAAAUAUUUAUUAACACAUUGUACGUUGAAAAUUAAUUCAAUUAUGGCAUCGUACUUAUAGCUAUUUCUCUAUUAUACUUUUAGAUGACUACCCCUUUAUAGCUUUGUGCUUUCAUCUUAUUCUUAUUAUAGCAUUCAUUAUGCUUUAAAAUUCUACCCAACUAUAGCAUUGUAUUUCCGUUUUUUUUUUCUUUAUAUGACCUUGUACUUUGAACAAUCUACCUAUUCAAAGCAAUUUUACUUUCAAUUUUUUGCUUAGUAAACUGGGUAGAUUUUUGAAAGUAGAUUGUUGAAAUAAAAUGAAAGGAAAGUUGGAUGCUAUAUAUAGUAAGCAAUCACUGAAAGUACAUUGCUAUUUCUGGUCACAUAUUUUUAAAGUUUGUUCAUUAUAGCAUCGUACUUCCAUUUCUUUGUGUCACAACAUUGUAAUUUCAACAUUUUCUCAUAAGGGCAUUGCAUUGUGCAGUUAUAGUGUUGUACUUUUAAUCUUUUUUAUUAGGACAUCCUACUUUAAAAAAUCUAUCCAAUCACAGCAAUGAAAAUUGCUUUGUUUUGAUGACAAUGCUAUAAUUGGGAAGAGUACAAUGCUAUAUUAUGAAAAAUGAAAGUAGGACUGUGGUGACAAGAGAUACAAAUGAAAAGGAUAAAAUAGUAGCUAUUCGAGAAGCUACACUCUCCAAAGGAAUAUAAACUUCUAAGGAUAAUGAUGAUGCAUUCCUUGAGGCUGGCCAACCCCUUAAUAGGGCACGAAUGACAGCUGGGACUCCAAAUGCCCAUUUUGCCCCUGCUCCCGCAUUACCUCUGCAGUCAUGAUGGUUGGCCUGGUGGUCCCCCUUUCCCUUGGAAUCCUUUUCUGUUUUUUCCUUCUUAAUGUGAAUUUGAGUGGUGGGUGCAUAACAGAUGCUAUAUAAUAUACAAAUCAAUGAAAGUAGAUUGCUAUCUGUUGCAUUUAAAGCAAUAUUGAUUUA